This 468-nucleotide ribosomal RNA is filed under the name uncultured bacterium. RNAcentral describes it as "partial 16S ribosomal RNA". It matches the Rfam family "Bacterial small subunit ribosomal RNA", at positions 28 to 507 of the family's 1533-position model. The record is from RNAcentral.
GACGAACGCUGGCGGCGUGCUUAACACAUGCAAGUCGAACGGAAAGGCCCUGCUUUUGUGGGGUGCUCGAGUGGCGCACGGGUGCGUAACACGUGAGUAACCUGCCCUUGCCUUUGGGAUAACUUCAGGAAACUGGGGCUAAUACCGGAUAGGAGCUCCUGCUGCAUGGUGGGGGUUGGAAAGUUUCGGCGGUUGGGGAUGGACUCGCGGCUUAUCAGCUUGUUGGUGUGGUAGUGGCUUACCAAGGCUGUGACGGGUAGCCGGCCUGAGAGGGUGACCGGCCACAUUGGGACUGAGAUACGGCCCAGACUCCUACGGGAGGCAGCAGUGGCGAAUAUUGCACAAUGGGCGGAAGCCUGAUGCAGCAACGCCGCGUGCGGGAUGACGGCCUUCGGGUUGUAAACCGCUUUCGCCUGUGACGAAGCGUGAGUGACGGUAAUGGGUAAAGAAGCACCGGCUAACUACGUG